Molecule: small RNA, 95 nt
Filed under: Marmota monax (woodchuck)
Lineage: Eukaryota; Metazoa; Chordata; Mammalia; Rodentia; Sciuridae
Source: RNAcentral
GCUGGGUGCGGUGGUGCACACCUGUAAUUCUAGUGGCUUGGAAGGCUGAGACAGGAAGAUCACAGCCUCAGCAACUCAGUGAGGCCCUGUCUCUA